UUAUCAACUUUCGAUGGUAGGAUAGAGGCCUACCAUGGUGGUAACGGGUAACGGGGUGUUAGGGCACGACACCGGAGAGGGAGCCUGAGAGGCGGCUACCACAUCCAAGGAUGGCAGCAGGCGCGCAAAUUACCCAAUCCCGACACGGGGAGGUAGUGACAAUAAAUAACAAUACGGGGUUCUUUAGGAUCUCGUAAUUGGAAUGAGUACAAUUUAAAUCUCUUAACGAGGAACAAUUGGAGGGCAAGUCUGGUGCCAGCAGCCGCGGUAAUUCCAGCUCCAAUAGCGUAUAUUAAAGUUGUUGCAGUUAAAAAGCUCGUAGUUGAAUUUCGGGGUUAGUAGGUUGGUCAUGCCUCUGGUAUGUACUGGUCUCACUGAUUCCUCCUUCCUUAUGAACCGUAAUGCCAUUAAUUUGGUGUUGCGGGGAAUUUGGACUGUUACUUUGAAAAAAUUAGAGUGUUUAAAGCAAGCUAACGCUUGAAUACAUUAGCAUGGAAUAAUGAAAUAGGACGUUCGAUCUUAUUUUGUUGGUUUCUAGGAUUGACGUAAUGAUUAAUAGGGAUAGUUGGGGGCAUUAGUAUUCAAUUGUCAGAGGUGAAAUUCUUGGAUUUACUGAAGACUAGCUACUGCGAAAGCAUUUGCCAAGGAUGUUUUCAUUAAUCAAGAACGAAAGUUAGGGGAUCGAAGACGAUCAGAUACCGUCGUAGUCUUAACCAUAAACUAUGCCGACUAGGGAUCGGAUGAUGUUAAUUUUUUAAUGACUCAUUCGGCGCCUUACGGGAAACCCAAAGUG
RNAcentral lists this ribosomal RNA (793 nucleotides) under uncultured Rhizophagus. Its description in RNAcentral is "SSU rRNA". It matches the Rfam family "Eukaryotic small subunit ribosomal RNA", at positions 312 to 1105 of the family's 1831-position model. The record is from RNAcentral. Lineage: Eukaryota; Fungi; Glomeromycota; Glomeromycetes; Glomerales; Glomeraceae.